This 1219-nucleotide ribosomal RNA is filed under the name uncultured bacterium. RNAcentral's name for it is "bacterial SSU rRNA". It matches the Rfam family "Bacterial small subunit ribosomal RNA", at positions 222 to 1453 of the family's 1533-position model. The record is from RNAcentral.
UGGAUGAGCGUGCGUUCCAUGAGUGCGUUGGGGAGGUAACGGCUCCGCAACACUACGGUGGAUAGGGGGUCUGAGAGGAUAGUCGCCCGCGUUGGUACUGAGACACGGACCAAACUCCUACGGGAGGCAGCAGUAGGGAAUAUUGGGCAAUGGACGCAAGUCUGACCCAGCCAUGCCGCGUGCAGGAAGACAGCCUUAUGGGUUGUAAACUGCUUUUGUACGGGAAGAAUCCCACCAACGUGUUGGUGGUUGACGGUACCGUAAGAAUAAGGAUCGGCUAACUCCGUGCCAGCAGCCGCGGUAAUACGGAGGAUCCAAGCGUUAUCCGGAUUUAUUGGGUUUAAAGGGUGCGUAGGCGGAAUAGUAAGUCAGUGGUGAAAGCCCUUUGCUUAACGAAGGAACUGCCAUUGAAACUACUAUUCUUGAGUACAGUUGGAGUGGGUGGAAUGUGUUAUGUAGCGGUGAAAUGCAUAGAUAUAACACAGAACGCCAAUCGUGAAGACAGCUCACUAAACUGUCACUGACGCUGAGGCACGAAAGCGUGGGGAGCGAACAGGAUUAGAUACCCUGGUAGUCCACGCCGUAAACGAUGAUUACUCGAUGUUGGUCCGUUAGGAUCAGUGUCCAAGUUAACGUAUUAAGUAAUCCAUCUGGGGAGUACGUCGGCAACGAUGAAACUCAAAGGAAUUGACGGGGGCCCGCACAAGCGGAGGAGCAUGUGGUUUAAUUCGAUGAUACGCGAGGAACCUUACCUGGGCUUAAAUGUAGGAUGACGUACCGGGAAACCGGUAUUUCUUCGGACAUCCUAUAAGGUGCUGCAUGGUUGUCGUCAGCUCGUGCCGUGAGGUGUUGGGUUAAGUCCCUUAACGAGCGCAACCCUUAUCCUUAGUUGCCAGCGGGUAAUGCCGGGGACUCUAAGGAAACUGCCUACGCAAGUAGUGAGGAAGGUGGGGAUGACGUCAAAUCAGCACGGCCCUUACGUCCAGGGCUACACACGUGCUACAAUGGCCGGUACAAAGGGUCGCUACCUCGUGAGAGGAUGCUAAUCUUUAAAACCGGUCUCAGUUCGGAUCGAAGUCUGCAACUCGACUUCGUGAAGUUGGAUUCGCUAGUAAUCGUGUAUCAGCAAUGACACGGUGAAUACGUUCCCGGGCCUUGUACACACCGCCCGUCAAGCCAUGGAAGUCAGGGGUACCUGAAGUCGAUAACCGCAAGGAGU